GCGCCCGUAGCUCAGUGGAUAGAGCAGCCGCCUUCUAAGCGGUAGGUCGGGGGUUCGAAUCCUCCCGGGCGCACCA
This 76-nucleotide transfer RNA is filed under the name Meiothermus ruber DSM 1279. RNAcentral describes it as "tRNA-Arg (TCT) (tRNA-Arg-TCT-1-1)". It matches the Rfam family "tRNA". From Rfam's summary of the family: Transfer RNA (tRNA) molecules are approximately 80 nucleotides in length. The record is from RNAcentral. Lineage: Bacteria; Thermotogati; Deinococcota; Deinococci; Thermales; Thermaceae.